UGAUGAGAUUAGUACAGAUUUCCUCAGGGGACCCCACAAGGGGCCCCGACCCCAUGUUUGGGAACCACUGUACUAACCCCUCAUGCUUGUUUCCUCUGCUUUACCAGCCUUCAGCCACACCACUGAUCACCAUGCCACUGUCUGUCUCGGUAGCCUAUGAGAAGUUAGUAAUGUAUUUCUUACUCAGUUUAACGUUAGCUUCUCCUUCAUCCUAGCUGGCUAAGUAAUACUUGCCAGGAACCUUCAACAUUACUGCAAUAGAAGUCUCUGGUGGCAGAUAAAGAUGGUGAUACAGCAUUGAAAAAGACCCACCACAUCCCUCAGGCCAUCCGGUGCAUGGACAUCUUGUGCCAGUGUGAUCCAGCACGAGAGUCAGUUGUAGAGGCUACAGCCGAUCGAGCAUGUGGACAGACAGGUCAGUAACUCAUCAAAUGUGACAGCCAAUCGAGCAUGUGGACGGACAGACAUGAGGCAUGACAUGCAGAACAUCUUCAGGCUCCCCCCAUGAGAAGCAGUGCAUGAUGUUCAAUGCCACCCUCCUUAAGGAGAUCUGGUGGAAGUAAUGGCUCUCCCAUUCUUAGAUGUAUUCUCUCUCUCUUGCUCUCUGUCUAGUUAAGCAGUCCAGAUGAUUUCCGUAGGGUGUCCUAUCCAACUCUACUUACUUCUUAUUUGGACUCCAAUGGAAACAUUGAAGUUUCAGGCAUCUCCACCAUGGCACAAUUCCAGAAUGUUCUCACUGAGGUGCAUCUUGUGGGCUAAAUGUUUUUCCCAUACAAACCACAAAAACUGUUUUGUUUUACGAAUGCAUCUGUGGUACAGUACAGACAAUCCGACAACCACUGUUGGU
Long non-coding RNA from Oncorhynchus tshawytscha (Chinook salmon), 847 nucleotides. The record is from Ensembl. NCBI's taxonomy places the organism in Eukaryota, Metazoa, Chordata, Actinopteri, Salmoniformes, Salmonidae.